RNAcentral lists this ribosomal RNA (464 nucleotides) under uncultured bacterium. RNAcentral's name for it is "partial 16S ribosomal RNA". It matches the Rfam family "Bacterial small subunit ribosomal RNA", at positions 28 to 507 of the family's 1533-position model. The record is from RNAcentral.
GACGAACGCUGGCAGCAUGCUUAACACAUGCAAGUCUAACGCUAAACCGGUUUCGCACAGGCUUUCCUAGGCGGCGGGGUGGUAAAAGGGUGGGGAUCUUCCCUGCCCUCUAGGGUAAACAGACGGAAAUGACUGUAAUGCCGGGGACAACACACCCGGACAUCUUUCGGGCUGGAAGAUUCGGGAGGCGCAGGAUGAGCCCGCGGCCUAUCAGCCCGGUGGUGGGGUAAGGGCCUACCAAGGCGACGACGGGUAGCCGGCCUGAGAGGGUGACCGGCCACACUGGGACUGAGACACGGCCCAGACUCCUACGGGAGGCAGCAGUGGGGAAUAUUGCACAAUGGGCGAAAGCCUGAUGCAGCGACGCCGCGUGAGGGAUGACGGCCUUCGGGUUGUAAACCUCUUUCAGCAGGGAAGAAGCGAAAGUGACGGUACCUGCAGAAGAAGCACCGGCUAACUACGUG